RNAcentral lists this ribosomal RNA (348 nucleotides) under uncultured bacterium. RNAcentral describes it as "bacterial SSU rRNA". It matches the Rfam family "Bacterial small subunit ribosomal RNA", at positions 1046 to 1392 of the family's 1533-position model. The record is from RNAcentral.
UGGCUGUCGUCAACUCGUGUCGUGAGAUGUUGGGUUAAGUCCCGCAACCAGCGCAACCCUUGUUCACUGUUGCCAGCACGUUAUGGUGGGGACUCAGUGGAGACCGCCGGGGUCAACUCGGAGGAAGGUGGGGAUGACGUCAAGUCAUCAUGCCCCUUAUGUCCAGGGCUUCACGCAUGCUACAAUGGCUGGUACAGAGAGUGGCGAGCCUGUGAGGGUGAGCGAAUCUCGAAAAGCCGGUCUCAGUUCGGAUUGGGGUCUGCAACUCGACCUCAUGAAGUCGGAGUCGCUAGUAAUCGCAGAUCAGCAACGCUGCGGUGAAUACGUUCCCGGGUCUUGUACACCCCG